RNAcentral lists this ribosomal RNA (680 nucleotides) under uncultured Actinomycetes bacterium. RNAcentral's name for it is "bacterial SSU rRNA". It matches the Rfam family "Bacterial small subunit ribosomal RNA", at positions 75 to 743 of the family's 1533-position model. The record is from RNAcentral. Lineage: Bacteria; Bacillati; Actinomycetota; Actinomycetes.
GGGCUUCGGCCCUGGGGAAAGCGGCGAACGGGUGAGUAACACGUGGGUAACCUGCCCUCGGCACCGGGAUAGCCCGGGGAAACUCGGAUUAAUACCGGACAGCCUCAUGAGCCCUCGGGCGAAUGAGAAAAGGUGGCUUCGGCUUCCGGCUGAGGAUGGGCCCGCGGCCGAUUAGCUUGUUGGUGGGGUAAUGGCUCACCAAGGCUCCGAUCGGUAGCUGGUCUGAGAGGACGAUCAGCCACACUGGGACUGAGACACGGCCCAGACUCCUACGGGAGGCAGCAGUGGGGAAUCUUGCGCAAUGGGCGAAAGCCUGACGCAGCGACGCCGCGUGCGGGAAGAAGGCCUCCGGGUUGUAAACCGCUUUCAGGAGGGACGAGGCCACUCAGGUUAAUAGCCGAGAGGGUGACGGUACCUCCAGAAGAAGCCCCGGCUAACUACGUGCCAGCAGCCGCGGUAAUACGUAGGGGGCUAGCGUUGUCCGGAUUUAUUGGGCGUAAAGAGCGCGUAGGCGGCUGGGUAAGUCCGACGUGAAAUCUGGAGGCUCAACCUCCAGCGGUCGUUGGAAACUACCCGGCUAGAGUCCGGAAGAGGAGAGUGGAAUUCCUGGUGUAGCGGUGAAAUGCGCAGAUAUCAGGAAGAACACCGAUGGCGAAAGCAGCUCUCUGGGACGGUACUGA